Hirundo rustica (Barn swallow) is the source of this 294-nucleotide long non-coding RNA. RefSeq lists it as uncharacterized. NCBI's taxonomy places the organism in Eukaryota, Metazoa, Chordata, Aves, Passeriformes, Hirundinidae. The record is from RefSeq and is a predicted model, not a curated record. The transcript has 3 exons.
CAGAAAUGAACGCAUUUUCCUUGCUAUCAGGAUGCAAAAUUCCACAAGUGAGAGUCAACUUUUGAAGAUAAACCUGUGCCCCAGUACUGUCAGAGCUGUGAAGUGUAUUCCAUUUGGAGCAGGUGUGAGAAAUCAGGGAUUUUUGUGGUGCCAUUUUGCUAACAAAAAGGAGCAUGACUCAAGUCUUCAUUCAUCUCUUCGUCAAAGGCUAAAGGAUGAAAAAACCCCCCAAGAUAUUAAAAGGAUAACAAGCAUACCUGCUAAUAUUUGGAACUUGGAUGCAGGUAUACCAGA